AACACUGUUAACCUGCGGUACCUGCGGAAGGAUCAUUAUAGUAUAUGGAAUCUCCAUUCUAUAAACCCACUCUGCGUAUCUUGUAACUGUUGCUUCCAUGGGACUUGGUUCCGCCACACCGGCUUCACGGCUGGUGAGCGCCCAUGGAAGGAGAAACAAAACUCUUCUUUGAAAUGUAGUUAGUCUGAACAAGUUUUUAUAAACGUUAAAACUUUUAGCAAUGGAUCUCAGAUCGGAAGA
Molecule: unclassified non-coding RNA, 240 nt
Filed under: soil metagenome
Description: partial contains 5.8S ribosomal RNA, internal transcribed spacer 2, and large subunit ribosomal RNA
Source: RNAcentral